RNAcentral lists this ribosomal RNA (211 nucleotides) under uncultured soil bacterium. RNAcentral's name for it is "partial 16S ribosomal RNA". It matches the Rfam family "Bacterial small subunit ribosomal RNA", at positions 26 to 236 of the family's 1533-position model. The record is from RNAcentral.
AGAUUGAACGCUGGCGGCAGGCCUAACACAUGCAAGUCGAGCGGCAGCACGGGUACUUGUACCUGGUGGCGAGCGGCGGACGGGUGAGUAAUGCCUAGGAAUCUGCCUGGUAGUGGGGGAUAACGCUCGGAAACGGACGCUAAUACCGCAUACGUCCUACGGGAGAAAGCAGGGGACCUUCGGGCCUUGCGCUAUCAGAUGACGCCUAGGU